RNAcentral lists this ribosomal RNA (492 nucleotides) under uncultured bacterium. Its description in RNAcentral is "partial 16S ribosomal RNA". It matches the Rfam family "Bacterial small subunit ribosomal RNA", at positions 29 to 507 of the family's 1533-position model. The record is from RNAcentral.
AGUGAACGCUGGCGGUAGGCCUAACACAUGCAAGUCGAACGGCAGCACAGUAAGAGCUUGCUCUUACGGGUGGCGAGUGGCGGACGGGUGAGGAAUACAUCGGAAUCUACUUUUUGGUGGGGGAUAACGUAGGGAAACUUACGCUAAUACCGCAUACGACCUACGGGUGAAAGCAGGGGAUCUUCGGACCUUGCGCGAUUGAAUGAGCCGAUGUCGGAUUAGCUAGUUGGCGGGGUAAAGGCCCACCAAGGCGACGAUCCGUAGCUGGUCUGAGAGGAUGAUCGGCCACACUGGAACUGAGACACGGUCCAGACUCCUACGGGAGGCAGCAGUGGGGAAUAUUGGACAAUGGGCGCAAGCCUGAUCCAGCCAUACCGCGUGGGUGAAGAAGGCCUUCGGGUUGUAAAGCCCUUUUGUUGGGAAAGAAAAGCAGCAGGUUAAUACCCCGCUGUUCUGACGGUACCCAAAGAAUAAGCACCGGCUAACUUCGUG